RNAcentral lists this non-coding RNA (141 nucleotides) under Streptomyces albireticuli. The record is from RNAcentral. Lineage: Bacteria; Bacillati; Actinomycetota; Actinomycetes; Kitasatosporales; Streptomycetaceae.
CGGCCAGCACUAGAUGUAUGCUCGUCCUCGCUGUCGUCGCAGGGGAAUCCGGUGGAAAUCCGGAACUGUCCCGCAACGGUGCAUGUAUGCCGUAAUGACGCAUGCAGGAGUCCGAGUACCUGCCGACAGCACGCCCACCGC